UUUAAAUCAAAUAAUCACAUUAUUGAAACUUUUUAUGCCCGGGUGGUACAUAUAACAGCUCAGCCUAGGUAACUUAGCACAGGCAAAUUGUACCCACUUUUAUGACACGUGUCAAUCACUACAAGAACCUGCCCUGGGAAGGGUUCUAGUGUCAAGCGGCCUCGUCUGCAGCGCUCAGAGGCUGUCUUUUGUCUUUAACUAAUUACAGAUUCAGACACAACAUUGCUUGCAUAAUAAGCAACCCCCAAUGGCACAGCCUCAACAGACCUCAACAAAAGAAAAGUCAAAGGCACGCUGCAAACAACUUAUAUUUCCAGCUAACUGAAACAAGGUAUUGGUCAUCAGUGGUGAUGAAAGUUGGAAAUACAUUGAAUGUUAACUUUAGUACCAGAACUUUAUCCACUUCUCACCCCCUGAGAGUGAAAGCACAGGAGGGUGGGGAGCAGCGGGGCCUGGGCUGUGCUAAUUUGCAAUCAGACACUCUCUUUGAGUUCUCCUUCUUCUCCUUCUAUGCCCCCAGACAGUGUAAAUGGCAGCUGAGACAAAGCUCCCAUUCUCUCCAUGAGGGCCCUCUUAGUUUUAUUUCAGGCCAGUGCUCUCAGACAGGGCAUUCUGGGAAAACUUGGAGAUGGCAGUGGCAAAGGGGGUGGGACCCAGAGAAAGAGAGAAAGACGGCAAGAUCUUGUGGCAGCACCCAACCCUAACUGCCAAGGGGCAUGCCGCAAUGCCACACCCUAAACACUUAGUAAUAUUCUAAUGAACAGGUUUAGAGAUAAACAUUAGCUGUUAGUUUAUUCGCAAUAUUUUAAAUUCAAGUUCAUGAUCGUUGUUGUCAUCUGGAUGGUAGUCCUGUAGUGAACUCCUGCAGUUAUCAUCUGAAACGCAAGACUACAGUGCAGAAUAUGCAACUUGUGACUUGCAGUACAAUUCUGGCGGGCUCUGGCACUGAUCGAGAGCGGGAAACAAGAUGGCGGGAAUAGCGCGAGGAAACACGGCGCUUGCGGCUCACGGUUAUAGGGCGGCGGCACGUGGAGUCAGGUUGGUGAAAACUGUCCAGCAGCGACACCGUGUGGAUCAAGUGUGUAACUGCAUGCCCGAGGAAACGCGACAGAAGGCAUCAGUAAAGGCUCCGGCUCCGUCCAAACUUCCGUACUACAGGAGCCUGGAGCCUAUCCCAGGGAAUUAAGGGCACAAGGCAGGGGAUACCAUGGACAGGGUGCCAACCCAUGAGGAAACCGGAAGAAACCCCUGAAGCAUGGGAGAACAUGCAAAAUCCACACACAGGACAGAGGCAGGAUUCAAAUCUUCAACCCUGGAGGUGCGAGGGAAACACACCAACCACUAAGCCCCUGUGACCCCCCCCCACCCCCCCACCCCCGAUAAUAAUAAACUGUUUUGCCUUCGUUUGUUUGUGGUAUAUAAUCCGGUACUCUUGUUUUGUGCUUAUUUUGUGCUACCUGACUUCCAACUCUCUCUACCUGACUAAUUAAUAUUCAUAUAGUGAAAACUGAUCUUGCCAGACAUGUCAUUGAAUAAAUCUCAAAACGUUUUUGAAUUUAUGGACUUUUUGAACUGACUGACUGACUGAUUGACUGACUGACUAUCUAUCUAUGAUAUGCUUCACAGAUAUUUGUAACUGCAAAACAUGUUACAAAAAUGUCUUGUAGUUUCAUCUGCUCUCAAUUAAUGAGAACGUUUGGUGUGUUAAGACCUUUUUUAGACUGUAUUUUUUUUCUUUUUUAUUUUAUGUAACAACUUUACAGAAAGCUGAGGCUACUAAAGUUUCAA
This is a long non-coding RNA of Ictalurus punctatus (channel catfish), 1788 nucleotides long. NCBI's taxonomy places the organism in Eukaryota, Metazoa, Chordata, Actinopteri, Siluriformes, Ictaluridae. The record is from Ensembl.